Molecule: non-coding RNA, 522 nt
Organism: Pelobates cultripes (western spadefoot toad)
Lineage: Eukaryota; Metazoa; Chordata; Amphibia; Anura; Pelobatidae
Source: the annotation of a GenBank genome assembly
UUGUAUACGAUUCCAUAAGACACAUGAAAAUUAAAGCCAAUUGAAAACAAAAAAGUAGGCUGGAGUAUGAGCCUGUGAGUUUCUUUAUAUUAUGCAGUUGCCCUAUUCUCACAUAGGGUAAGAUUGAGAGCAGUGCAAAAGUGCCACAGAUGGAUGCAAGGCAAAGAUACUGGUGUCGCAGGCCUGAUAGGGAGCCUUCACAAAUGCUACACUGCUUAUAAAUAAUGUCCAAUUCAUUUCCCCUGGAAAGUGGAACAAUGCUCUUUAGUCUAUUGCUUGGACAUCUCCUCCAAAUGACUCUCUACAGGCGUGGGUGAUGAAAUGGGACAGUCCCCCAAUGGCUCUCAGCCCAGGAGGACCCAACUUCUGAAUGGUGUAAGCGAUGGUUAAUAUGCUCGGCUCUGGGACCCGCUGACUCCAGCUCUGCCGUUGUCAAGACCCAGACUGAUCUGAGUAUUGGGUUACUUCUGGAAUGCUUGGUUGUAUAUUAGUGCCCAGAACUUCUCACAGUCCUAUCUGGUC